Molecule: long non-coding RNA, 1484 nt
Organism: Stegostoma tigrinum
Lineage: Eukaryota; Metazoa; Chordata; Chondrichthyes; Orectolobiformes; Stegostomatidae
Exons: 4
Source: RefSeq, a predicted model, not a curated record
CCCCCCCCGCCGCCGCCGCAACAAUAUCACUCAAGUAAAAAGUGACAACACAAUGCAAGAGGACGGCAACAGCAACGAGAAACGGUGUCCAAAGCACACCGGCCAAGCAACUGCCCCAGAAAUUACAAGAAAAGGUUAAAAAGAGGUUUUUAAAGAAGAAUCAUACUACCUGACCAGGUAUACCGAACAAUAACCCGAAUUUCAGGAGUAACGCCGGAGCCUUUGAAGCUCUGAAAGCAGAGACACCUUCACACCGUACUCUCGCUCCCAGCGCUCACUAGAUAAAUGGCGACGUCAACCGAAUUCCAGCAGCGUCAGCACACCGGAAGCAAUGGAUCACAUGACCGUCUCCCUCGUAACCGCCCCGUUGCGCACCUUGAAUAAUACUGACAGUACGUAAGCCCAAGGAAGAAAUCUUCCUGAAUCUUGUUGAGAAGCCAUUUCCAUGGAAAAAUACAUCUAGCCCAUUGAAAGUCAGCUUAUGGAGACUGAGUAAGCCCAAGGAAAAGAUCUUCCUGAAUCUUGUUGAGAGAAGCCAUUUCCAUGGAAAAAUACAUCUAGCCCAUUGAAAGUCAGCUUAUGGAGACUGCAGUUUAAUGCAAAUGACCCUGGAUAGUGAAGGAAGAAGAAACAGCAGUUAUAAAGCUUUGGUAGCUGACACUCUCAUCUCACAGAACUGCUCUCACUUCUUCGUAACAAGCUCAAUCAACAAAUGAGAAUGGACAGAAUGCUGAUUGGUAACUGAAUCUUCCAGUCAGUCUCCAGGACUGCCCAGGAUUCUUUGACAAGUUAUUUCCAGUAACCAGAGAGGAGGCUAGCAGCUAACCAGACCAAAGUUUGUCUCAAAUUCCUGUAACCAUUAAUAUCUUUUUAACAUGCUCAAUUGUUGAAGGAAGCAGCAUGCUUUGCAGUACAAGUACAAAGCAUUGUGGUAUUGUGGAAGUCAAGUUUGAGGCUCACUCCAGUGAGGUCCAGAGUUCAUCGAUCUAAUCAGAAUGAAUCAUACAGCCAAGUCGACAGCAACGCUCUUCACACCCCUUGGGAGUGAAGAGGAGGAGGUAAAACUGAGCUUUCACUCUGAUACCUAAAAAUCAGGAUGGGAAAAGGCUGGAAACUAAAAACAUCUGCAGAGAGAGAAAAAACAAAGUUAACAUUUCAGUUCUGUAAUCUUUCAUUGGAACAGCACUGAAAAGAUAACACUGUUCCUUUCUCCACAAACACUACCAGACCUGCUGAAUAUUUCUAGUUAUCAUACAUCAGAUUUCAGCAGUUGCAGUGUUUUGCUUUUGUACAGAUUAGAUAGGCUACUUUCUUAGGAGCAGGAAGACUGUGGCUGUGAGGGGUUCGGUAGCUUACAGGGAAGCAACAACUUAGAUUUCACUGAAUAAAAUAACACUUAAUGAUCUAGAGAUAGUGGGAACUGCAGAUGCUGGAGAAUCUGAGAUAACAAGGUGUGGAGCUGGAUGAACACUGCAAGCCAAGCA